GUGUAGUGUCCUCGUCAUAUUAUUAAUAAUAAUUUUAAAGUAGUUUUGUUAUUGUUAUCACUUAUCAGUCUUUAUUUACAUUGUGCAAUCAGUGACAGAUUAUCAGUCUUCGAAAACGACGAAAACUACCCACAGUACAGACUUCUAUACUUAAGAAAUCUGUAGCGAAAACACAUUGAAUGCGUAUUGCGUACUGCGUAGUGGCGACGAAAUGUACAACUAAGAUAAAAGCUGCAUUAACAAGGUCUUAUUUAUUGGCUCGGAAGUUGUUGGAGUUGUAUAUAGUUUUAUAUGCUCUCAGAUAAUAGCAUGUCUAGCUAGAAAUCUGAACUUUAUGAUGAUUUUAGGCAUAUGCCUCGCUCAAAAUCUAUGUGCUGUCAUAUUGGUACAAAAAGGCAGGUGGCAUUAAAGAUGAAAUUAUUCUUAAAACAUGAACAAACUAGUUUUUAAAUGUAUAUAAUAUACAUAUAACUACUUUUUUUCAUACUUAAAAUAGUGAUAAAAAGAUUGUGGCCUAACUUCUUAGUGAUUAAUUAAACAUGCUCUGAUUUUUAAUUAAUUCUCUUAAAUUUUAAUUGAGCAAUCACAACGUACCAUUAAUAUUAUACAUCACACAUAACUAGAUUCGAUUUUAG
This is a long non-coding RNA of Rhopalosiphum padi (bird cherry-oat aphid), 635 nucleotides long. RefSeq lists it as uncharacterized. Lineage: Eukaryota; Metazoa; Arthropoda; Insecta; Hemiptera; Aphididae. The transcript has 3 exons. The record is from RefSeq and is a predicted model, not a curated record.